This is a non-coding RNA of Triticum aestivum (bread wheat), 135 nucleotides long. Lineage: Eukaryota; Viridiplantae; Streptophyta; Magnoliopsida; Poales; Poaceae. The record is from Rfam.
UUAGUACUCCCUUCGUUCGAAAAUACUUGUCAUCAAAAUGGAUAAAAAAGGAUGUAUCUAGAACUAAAAUACGUCUAGAUACACCUCUUUUUAUUUAUUUUGAUGACAAGUAUUUCCGGACGGAGGGAGUAGUAG